RNAcentral lists this ribosomal RNA (253 nucleotides) under uncultured bacterium. RNAcentral describes it as "partial 16S ribosomal RNA". It matches the Rfam family "Bacterial small subunit ribosomal RNA", at positions 524 to 776 of the family's 1533-position model. The record is from RNAcentral.
UACGGAGGGGGCUAGCGUUGUUCGGAAUUACUGGGCGUAAAGCGCACGUAGGCGGCUUUGUAAGUUAGAGGUGAAAGCCCGGGGCUCAACCCCGGAAUUGCCUUUAAGACUGCAUCGCUAGAAUUGUGGAGAGGUAAGUGGAAUUCCGAGUGUAGAGGUGAAAUUCGUAGAGAUCGGGAGGAACACCGGUGGCGAAGGCGGGUCUCUGGGCAAUUCCUGACGCUGAGGAGCGAAAGCGUGGGGAGCGAACAGG